Molecule: long non-coding RNA, 129 nt
Organism: Sapajus apella (tufted capuchin)
Lineage: Eukaryota; Metazoa; Chordata; Mammalia; Primates; Cebidae
Exons: 4
Source: RefSeq, a predicted model, not a curated record
UUCCUUUCACUAUCCACACACAAGUACACCCUGGUAUCUGUUGUUCACUUCCUUGUGUCCAUGUGUACUCAAUGUUUAGCUCCCACUUAUAAGUGAGAACGUGCAGUAUUUAGUUUUCUAUUUCUGUAU